RNAcentral lists this ribosomal RNA (411 nucleotides) under Triticum aestivum (bread wheat). RNAcentral describes it as "partial small subunit ribosomal RNA". The record is from RNAcentral. Lineage: Eukaryota; Viridiplantae; Streptophyta; Magnoliopsida; Poales; Poaceae.
AUGGUUGAUACAAAGAAAAAAAUAAAGUAUGCGGUGAUAAAGUGGGCUAUGUCUACGCAGAGUGUUUUCCGGACACACAUAUCAAGUCCAACAAACUAUACCAUGAAGUGUGUUGAAAUAGGUUGUCCUGGGAAGGUCCACGGGCACGUGCCGAAGUAUAACAUCCACUGGGUUGUCACCGAUGUCGUCCCACAUAAUUGUGUGAGAAACCUUCUGGUGAAUCAUCCAAACCUGACUUGAACUCUCAUUGCGCAACUCAUAUAUACUGAGAUAGUGCAUAAGAAAGAUAUGGAAGCAAAAAACAUCCAGACAGCAGUGAAGCUCAGAUGGAAUUAUUAUAUUCCUUAUGGGAAGGCUUGGAGGACUAAGCAGAAGGUUAUGGAGGAAAGGUUUGGGACGCGGCUCAUAUGA